ACAUUUCAUGUGCGUAGCACGACAGGUUAAUCCGAGUGAUUUCUGCUAAGGAAAUCUUUUGCCAGUCAUAAAACCACUGGUGAAUAAGGGGUGGGCAAGUUCUGGUGUCAGCCGCCGCGGUAAAAGACA
Molecule: ribosomal RNA, 129 nt
Filed under: uncultured crenarchaeote
Lineage: Archaea; Thermoproteati; Thermoproteota
Description: partial 16S ribosomal RNA
Rfam family: Archaeal small subunit ribosomal RNA
Source: RNAcentral